UAAUGCAAGAUGGAGAAGCAGGGCACGUGCAUUACUAGCUAACAGUAGCUUGGCUACCUAAAUAAGCUAAGGUGAAUUUUGAAGGUUAUAGCUAACUAGUUAGUUAGCUUUUCAUGUGCCCCCAUUCUCCAUCAUGCCCAU
Molecule: non-coding RNA, 141 nt
Organism: Thalictrum thalictroides
Lineage: Eukaryota; Viridiplantae; Streptophyta; Magnoliopsida; Ranunculales; Ranunculaceae
Source: the annotation of a GenBank genome assembly